UGUAAGCGUAUACCAAAGUUGUUGCAGUUAAAACGCUCGUAGUCGGAAUUUGGCAGUUCCGGAUGUGUGCACGUCGUGUGCGCACUUCGCGGGGAUUGCUUUUGUGGUCUUGCGUAGGAUGAGGCACUUUUAUUAGUGAACGUCCUCACGCAACCACUUUUUACUGUGAGAAAAUCAGAGUGCUCAAAGCAGGCAUUUGCCGUGAAUGUAUUAGCAUGGAAUAAUAGAAUAGGACUUGGUUCUAUUUUGUUGGUUUGUUGGGACUGAGUAAUGAUUAAGAGGGACAGUUGGGGGCAUUUGUAUUUCGGUGCUAGAGGUGAAAUUCUUAGAUUACCGAAAGACAAACUGCUGCGAUAGCGUCUGCCAAGGAUGUUUUCAUUGA
This 382-nucleotide ribosomal RNA is filed under the name uncultured eukaryote. RNAcentral's name for it is "partial 18S ribosomal RNA". It matches the Rfam family "Eukaryotic small subunit ribosomal RNA", at positions 592 to 976 of the family's 1831-position model. The record is from RNAcentral.